CAUAUAACAUAGCAUCACAAAGAUAGUCAAUAAUAGAUGAUCUAUUUUCUCUUGUUGGAUUUUGACUUGUGCUUUCCAACUAGAUCCGAACCGAUAACACUCUUAACCGUCACUUUCGAGGACCGAGACGACGAGGCCAUUAGCACACAAAUAAAACAUGUGUGGAAGAGAAAGGAUAAGAUGAAGUGAAUGGCUCGAUUAGAUGGGACGAAAAAGAGGUUUGGAAGAUGGAAAUGGUCAACAACAGACACGAUUAACUCACUCAAACAAGGAUAUAGGAAGAACAUGUAGAUGCAAUAAUUGGACCUAUAAAUGCUGAAUUCAUGGAUUGAUAUCAGUGGGAAUAGAUCACCAAUCAUUACAGUAGUUUCAACACAGAGAACCCAAAGCUUAGCUUGUAAUUGGUUGGCUCAAUCACCUCUGGAGACCAAAGUUGUUCAUGUCCCUAUAGAAGCAUAUGGAACAUUCGCAUGAUCUGGAAUUGUCUCAAACAUGAUUUGAUAAUGAACCUAAACCAGCUCAAAUUCCUGUACCACAAAGUAGGUUCAGAUCAGGUAAUCAUAUCAUCUCAUGUGCAUGACAAAUGAAACAAAUGGCCCUUAUCACAAAGCAGGUUCAGCUCAAAUUCAUGUAAAAUUCGAAUAUGAGACUUCAUACACCUUAAAGUUCAUAGGACGAAAAGAGGUUAUUUUGAGGCCCUUAUACUCAUUAUGCCUAGCAUUGAAUGGGCUGGGUAUUUACCUUAUCAACUAUCAAAUCAAUGGUUCUCUAUUUGAAAUGAAUGCAAUAUGUUAAAAAUACUAACAUGAGAUGAUUCAUCUAUUGUUAAUAGUUAGCAGACCACACAAAGAAAACUAGAUCAGGAAGAUGGAUGUGCUGUCUGAAACAUACAAAAUAUUGUACAAAAUCUUAGAUGGUAAACUUUGGAGAUGUCAAACCAAUGAAAGGGAGAGGAGGGGGAUUAAGGGACACAGUUCCUGAUUAGAAUGUUUUUUAGCAUUAAAAGUUUAGAGUUUCUACAAGCUUUUGAUUGUAAGAUAAUUCAAAUUCAGUUGAUGAACUUACAAGAAAUUCAAUUGCAGUCUAUAUAUACAUUUUUUGGUAGAGGGUGUAAAGCAUAAUGGCAUGAUCUACAUAGGAGAGUUAGCAUGAUUUUGAAGAAUUAGAGGAUGUAGGCAGCAAGUUUCCAUCAUGCCACUUGUACAUGAAAUAUCAACAUGGCAGAACUAACUAUUGCUAGUCUAGACAAAACAAUAAUGCAAUGAUUAGCUGGAUGCCUCAUGUGUUGAACAAAAUGAAGAGAAUCAUCAUCAAAUUUAAUUGGUCUUAUCAGGGUGUUCUUCAAAAUUCUCUUAAUGAUUGCAUAGCCAUAUAUAUCAUGACCCUCGAGACCAUAGGAUACCAAUUAUAACACCAAAACUGACUCUAUUAGACUGGAAGCACAAUGUCCAUGCCAAUUUUGAGCCCACUAAAUCAUGGUAUGGGCACUUGAUAAAAAAAAAAGAAAAGGGUGAAAGAAAACUAUUUUCAAAUAAUUGGUGAUUAAAGUAGGCAGAUGAACAGUAUCAGAUUUCUACAGCUGCUGAGAACAUAGAUAAUAGCCAAUAUAGUCAUUGCCAUCUUUUCAAUAACAGUUAAGAGAACAAUAGCUUACUCAACAAUUUUAACUAAUCUAGAAAAGAAAUUUGCUUCAGCACAUUUGCACAAAAUAUUCUACCUUGAUGGUUAAUAGGAUAUAGAAAAAGCCAAUUAAAUUCCAACAAACUACUGCAUGCAUCACAAGAACCAGACUUGUAGUUGGAAUUUGUGUUAGGAUAUGUCCCUCGAUCAAUUUAGAGCAGAUUUGACAGUUCUUUAGGGGUUUACAACUUCAUAAAAUCUUGAACCAACACACAGCAGUCUGAAAAGGAAAACUGUCCUGGUGUUUUUUAAUUUUCUAUGAUGUUUUGGACAGAUAUUUCACAUUGUCUCAAGCAGAUUUUUAGGGAGUCGGAGUCUAGUCUUGAUUCCAAAUGGUGUUCAAGAGUCCUAAAAUAGGUAUAGUGUUAUUUAAAAAGCUAUUUUUUCAUGGACAUUUUACCUAACAAAAGGUUCGGCUUUUUACCAAAUUGUCACGGACAAACUUCUAAACAAGGUGUUUGAUGUAAUGCUUAUGUAUGUCCGUGUCUUUUGGCAUGUUUAUACCUUGUACAGCAUGUAGAUGGGGCGAUCGAAAGCUUAAUAGUCCCAUUUUAGUUGGGUUGGUGGCCUCUUUAGGCUUGUAAAUAAAGGUUGUGUCAUGUGGACACGUACGAGAGAUUCUCGGUCUGUAAUGGACCAUUUUAUCCUUUGUUGUGCAACUAUUCAGAGCUUGUAAAGUCUGUUUGUAAUUUGCGUUGUCUAUGAAGUGUUUUUCGGAGAUGUUUGCUUGUGGAUCCCGAUUGAGGCGUUCUCUCUAACCCGUUCUCUCUUUUGUUGGUCCUAAGGUACAAUGGGAGGCUUCGGGGAGGUUGACCUUUGCGGACGGACACGCAAGGGUGCCGCACGACUUAGGCAAAAUCAGCUAAGUCCGUGACAAAAUGGUGCCUCUCCAAUCGGUUUUUACCUAUGAGCGCCCAUUUUUCGUCAAUUUGAUAAAAAUGCCCCUCCGCCCUUCCCCCAACCGCUCCGACUGUUAUCGCCACUCCCAUCCACCGUUAUCUCUGCCAUCGCAGCUCCCUACUCCACCACGAGCGAUGUCACCCGUCGAACAUCCUCCCCCUCCCGCUCCUCCUCCUACCCCGCCGCCCGCCCUUUCCUGACACCCCAUGCGACGCGGCUACGUUGUCGACUUAGCAGCUUGCCAGGUCGGGCUCACCCUUGCCCUCGAUGAUGCUGACACCAUUGACACCCCCAUGCGAUGAGGGUGGUGCAACCGACUCAGUGGACCACGACUGCCCCCUCCCUUAGCAAUGUCACCUUUGCCGCCUCUUCAUUACCUCCGUAGCUAGCGCCCUCAUCGCACACCUCCACUCUACCCACCUGCUCCCAUUGCAACGAGGAAAGGCAGGUAGUUGGGGGAGGAGGAGGAGGAGGGGAAAGGGAGGAUGAGGAGGAGGCAAUGGGCGGCGAAGGUGACGACAAUCGAGGGCAAAGGGUAUUUUCAUUAAAUUGAUGAAAAUGGAAAACCUCAAGGUAAAAAUCAAUUAGAGGGCUGUCAUUUGGUAAACGGCCAACAUCGAGAGCUUUUUUAGGUACAAUGCCCUUUUUUUCAUCUAGAUUUGUAUUUGAAGUCAUUCAAGAGUUCUCAUUCAUUUGAUUAUUGAUGACAUUAAUAUAUAUAAUUGUAAGCUCUUGCAGCGUGACUUGAGAUUGUUAUCUUCUUUUAUGCAAUAGAAUUAACUUGUCUUGAAUUAGCUCCUCAUAUCUUGGAGGUUCUUCUCUCUCUUAAAGUAGAGAAGCCUCGCUUCUUUGGAGAGGCCAUAUCCUAACAGUUACAGUUAUAGAAUAAAAUAACAAUACUAUCUACCUUAGGAAAAAGAAAAAGCACCAGAGGAGAUAGACAGCUUAAUAGCUCCCAAAUCCCAGCACGCUAUCACACAACAAAAUCCAAUACUUAGAAGUAAGUUUAGAUUUCCACCUAAGAACAAAACUAACUCAUGCAAUGUUUACUCCCAACAAGCAGUCACACAACAAACCAUUAGAGAUUGAGGUUUCAGAUCUUGGAACAAAACAACAACCCUCUAUUCCCGAAGCACAAGAAUAACACAAUGCAUACAAGAACAAAGAAGAGGGGAAGCUCACACCAACCUGAAGAGAGCUGUGUCAUGUCACCCAUGAGAAGCAGCGCAAGAAGAGUCGCAGGAUGGCAGCGGAGUCGCGAAUUCCAACAGCACCAAGAAGCCGCCUUUAUUCUCUCUGGGCAACGAAAUGGGCCGUCGAAACCUGGAACAGAGCCACA
This 3919-nucleotide long non-coding RNA is filed under the name Musa acuminata (dwarf banana). Its description in RNAcentral is "long non-coding RNA (MACU_LNC004785)". The record is from RNAcentral. Lineage: Eukaryota; Viridiplantae; Streptophyta; Magnoliopsida; Zingiberales; Musaceae.